RNAcentral lists this ribosomal RNA (427 nucleotides) under uncultured bacterium. Its description in RNAcentral is "bacterial SSU rRNA". It matches the Rfam family "Bacterial small subunit ribosomal RNA", at positions 355 to 775 of the family's 1533-position model. The record is from RNAcentral.
UCGAGAAUUUUUCACAAUGGGCGAAAGCCUGAUGGAGCGACGCCGCGUGGGGGAUGAAUGGCUUCGGCCCGUAAACCCCUGUCAUUUGCGAUCAACCGUUAUUAUUUAAAAGAUGAUAACCUGAUAGUAGCGAAAGAGGAAGGGACGGCUAACUCUGUGCCAGCAGCCGCGGUAAUACAGAGGUCCCAAGCGUUGUUCGGAUUUACUGGGCGUAAAGGGCGCGUAGGUGGCGGCGUAAGUCGGAUGUGAAAUCUCCGAGCUCAACUCGGAAACUGCAUUGGAAACUACAUUGCUCGAGGGUUGGAGGGGGGACUGGAAUACUUGGUGUAGCAGUGAAAUGCGUAGAUAUCAAGUGGAACACCAGUGGCGAAGGCGAGUCCCUGGACAACUCCUGACACUGAGGCACGAAAGCUAGGGGAGCAAACAG